This 370-nucleotide unclassified non-coding RNA is filed under the name soil metagenome. RNAcentral's name for it is "partial contains 5.8S ribosomal RNA, internal transcribed spacer 2, and large subunit ribosomal RNA". The stretch from base 1 to 120 matches the Rfam family "5.8S ribosomal RNA", at positions 35 to 154 of the family's 154-position model. The record is from RNAcentral.
GAUGAAGAACGGAGCGAAAUGCGAUAAGUAAUGUGAAUUGCAGAAUUCAGUGAACCAUCGACUCUUUGAACGCACAUUGCGCCCGGCAGUAAUCUGCCGGGCAUGCCUGUCCGAGCGUCAUUUCUACCCUCGAGCGAGUCCAGCAUCUAGGUGCUGGGCCUCGCCCGGCGUUGGAGCACUACGGGAAGCCCUGUGCUGUCCCCCGUAGGCCCCGAAAUGAAGUGGCGGUCCUGCCGCGGCGCCCCCAGCGUAGUAUAACAGCUCGCUUCGGGACCCGGUGGAGGCCUGCCGUCAAACCUAUACUCUCUAAGUUUGACCUCGGAUCAGGUAGGGUUACCCGCUGAACUUAAGCAUAUCAAUAAGCGGAGGA